GUGCCAGCAGCCGCGGUAAUACGUAGGCAGCAAGCGUUGUUCGGAAUUACUGGGCGUAAAGAGUGUGUAGGCGGCUAGGUAAGUUCUGUGUGAAAUCUCCCGGCUUAACUGGGAGGGUGCGCCGAAAACUGCCUGGCUAGAGUGCCGGAGAGGAAAGCGGAAUUCCUGGUGUAGCGGUGAAAUGCGUAGAUAUCAGGAGGAACACCGGUGGUGUAGACGGCUUUCUGGACGGCCACUGACGCUGAGACACGAAAGCGUGGGGAGCAAACAGGAUUAGAUACCCUGGUAGUCC
Molecule: ribosomal RNA, 292 nt
Filed under: uncultured bacterium
Lineage: Bacteria
Description: partial 16S ribosomal RNA
Rfam family: Bacterial small subunit ribosomal RNA
Source: RNAcentral